Melanaphis sacchari is the source of this 1839-nucleotide RNA transcript. It is a transcript of the gene named alpha/beta hydrolase domain-containing protein 17C, with no coding region annotated. NCBI's taxonomy places the organism in Eukaryota, Metazoa, Arthropoda, Insecta, Hemiptera, Aphididae. The record is from RefSeq and is a predicted model, not a curated record. The transcript is spliced from 4 exons.
UGAAGCCUACUGUUGAACCAAAAACUUACCUAUCGGUUGACGAACCGCAAUCCGCGAAUCGACGAUGACAACAUCAGUUAUGGGGGCGGCCCUCGAAUAAGAGUAACAUGGACAAUGGGUACAAUGAACAAUGAUUACGAUGACAAUAGUGUCAUGGAGGAAACAGUGAUUAGCUGACGACAACACCAAUAAUUGUAGUACCAGUACUACGGAGAGGGUCUUUAUAGUAAUUUGGUUUUAUUCAGCGUAGUUUAAUGAUAAAAUUCUGUAUAGUAAGUUGUUCACAUAUUCUAUGCAUUGAUUGCAUUGUGUGUUCCGGACCACGAUUGAUAAGAGGGCUCCGUGACGUAAUCGCAGCAGCAGGCUCGACGAUAGUCCGCUAUGCGUAUCAGCGAAAUUCCUAGUCCACGGCGUGAUGAUGAUGAUGUCACAAUUCACGAUUUUUUUUUGAUAUUAUUAUUUUGAAAUGUUUUUCUCGAGAGCGUCGUCCUAGUACGGUACUGCGGUGUAAAGCUGUUGUUACUAUUGCAGUUGUCGUAGUUGUAGCUAGGUACGUGCGUACUGCGUUAGUAGUAACGGGGCGAAAACAUAUAUUUUGUGCGCCACUAACCGCCGCUAAUUCUCCUUCAACGCUUUUUCGUUAACUUGGUCCCGUUUAUAUUUUUUCACCGUCACACCUCAGUCUUGUUUCUAUUCUCGUUCUACCUGAUGUGCUUGCAAUGAACGGGAUGACGUUCAGCGAGUUGAUGUACCUGUUUUGCUGCCCACCCCUGCCAUCCCGCAUCGCCGCCAAACUUGCGUUCCUUCCACCGCCAAUCACCUACGACUUCACGCCGGUCGACAGCGGCGAGACCAAAUAUCAUAUCAAGUUCAACGAUAAGGCUGAGUGGCAGUACACUGACAGUGACGUGCAGAACAUUGAAGGAUUCUAUGCUCGCACGUCCCGUGGCAAUCGCAUAGCUUGCAUAUUCGUACGAUGCUGCCCUAAUGCCCGGUACACCAUACUGUUUUCUCACGGAAACGCUGUCGACUUAGGUCAGAUGAGCAGUUUCUACUUAGGACUAGGCAUGAGAAUCAACUGCAACAUAUUUAGCUACGAUUAUUCCGGCUACGGCAUCAGCAAAGGUAAGCCGAGCGAGAGAGAUCUGUAUGCUGAUAUUGAUGCUGCUUGGCAAACAUUAAGAACUACCUAUGGUAUUAGCCCCGAGAACAUAAUACUGUAUGGUCAAAGUAUUGGUACUGUACCCACUGUCGAUUUAGCGUCUAGAUAUGAAGUGGGAGCUGUAGUCCUUCAUUCACCAUUGACAUCCGGCAUAAAAGUAGCAUUUCCUAGAUCUAAAAGGAAAUGGUUUUUUGAUGUGUUUACCAGCAUUGAUAAGGUAUCAGAAGUUAACUCCCCAGUGCUCGUCAUACAUGGAACACAUGACGAAGUAAUUGAUUUUUCACAUGGUGUUGCUAUUUAUGAAAAAUGUCCUAAAGCAGUUCCACCACUAUGGGUUGAGGGUGCUGGACACAAUGAUGUAGAAUUGCAUAAUGUUUAUUUGGAAAGACUUAAACAAUUUGUUACAACUGAACUGCUCAACUGACAUUUAAUUGAAAAAAAAGAUGCAGAUACAUCGAAUGGACAAUCGCCCAAUCUGGUAACUAAUGGCUCAGCGACUGAGAAAUUACUUUGUUUUAGGUGCAAAUUCAGAACACCAAGAAGUAAACAACUCUAAUGAUCUACCAAAAUGGACAACAAUGGUUACUAAUUUUAAGGUGCUAAAAUCAAGUGAUUUAAAUGCAUUUUGUGUUGUCCAAAAGAAAAACACAUUUCUACCUUUAAAUUAUCAAAAUCAU